Molecule: non-coding RNA, 72 nt
Organism: Phrynosoma platyrhinos (Desert horned lizard)
Lineage: Eukaryota; Metazoa; Chordata; Lepidosauria; Squamata; Phrynosomatidae
Source: the annotation of a GenBank genome assembly
GCCAGCAUGGUGUAGUGGUUUGGGUAUUAGACUAGGACUCUGGAGAUCAGAGUUCAAGUCCCCAUUCAGCCA